AACGCGAAGAACCUUACCAGGGCUUGACAUGCACGGUGUACUCGCAGAGAUGCGGGGUCCUUUGGGGCCGUGUGCAGGUGGUGCAUGGUUGUCGUCAGCUCGUGUCGUGAGAUGUUGGGUUAAGUCCCGCAACGAGCGCAACCCUUGUCCUAUGUUGCCAGCACGCCUUUAUGGUGGUGGGGACUCGUGGGAGACUGCCGGGGUCAACUCGGAGGAAGGUGGGGACGACGUCAAAUCAUCAUGCCCCUUAUGUCCUGGGCUGCACGCAUGCUACAAUGGCCGGUACAGAGGGCUGCGAUACCGUGAGGUGGAGCGAAUCCCGGAAAGCCGGUCUCAGUUCGGAUCGGGGUCUGCAACUCGACCCCGUGAAGUCGGAGUUGCUAGUAAUCGCAGAUCAGCAAUGCUGCGGUGAAUACGUUCCCGGGCCUUGUACACACCGAGACGUA
This 446-nucleotide ribosomal RNA is filed under the name uncultured bacterium. Its description in RNAcentral is "bacterial SSU rRNA". It matches the Rfam family "Bacterial small subunit ribosomal RNA", at positions 958 to 1398 of the family's 1533-position model. The record is from RNAcentral.